GACGAACGCUGGCGGCGUGCUUAACACAUGCAAGUCGAACGGAAAGGCCCUGCUUUUGUGGGGGGCUCGAGUGGCGAACGGGUGAGUAACACGUGAGUAACCUGCCCUUGACUUUGGGAUAACUUCAGGAAACUGGGGCUAAUACCGGAUAGGAGCUCCUGCUGCAUGGUGUGGGUUGGAAAGUUUCGGCGGUUGGGGAUGGACUCGCGGCUUAUCAGCUUGUUGGUGGGGUAGUGGCUUACCAAGGCUUUGACGGGUAGCCGGCCUGAGAGGGUGACCGGCCACAUUGGGACUGAGAUACGGCCCAGACUCCUACGGGAGGCAGCAGUGGGGAAUAUUGCACAAUGGGCGGAAGCCUGAUGCAGCAACGCCGCGUGCGGGAUGACGGCCUUCGGGUUGUAAACCGCUUUCGACUGUGACGAAGCGUGAGUGACGGUAAUGGGUAAAGAAGCACCGGCUAACUACGUG
This 468-nucleotide ribosomal RNA is filed under the name uncultured bacterium. RNAcentral describes it as "partial 16S ribosomal RNA". It matches the Rfam family "Bacterial small subunit ribosomal RNA", at positions 28 to 507 of the family's 1533-position model. The record is from RNAcentral.